This is a long non-coding RNA of Hemicordylus capensis (graceful crag lizard), 433 nucleotides long. RefSeq lists it as uncharacterized. The record is from RefSeq and is a predicted model, not a curated record. The transcript has 2 exons. NCBI's taxonomy places the organism in Eukaryota, Metazoa, Chordata, Lepidosauria, Squamata, Cordylidae.
AUUUGGAGGUAGACUGCCUUUGAACAUGGAGGUUCCAUUGUCAGUGACCAGGGGCCAUCGUCGUCAUGGAUUGAUGUCCAGCGGAAAUCGAGCAGGGAGCGAAAAAGGCCGGCUUCCCCUCAGCAAAUUGGCUCUGGUACCUUUUCAGUGGGCGCAGAAGGGCCUCUCUUCCAGACACCACGUCUCUCUGGAGUCCCGGGAGCUGAAAGCUGGGAAAUCUCCACCUUAUGCCAGCAGCCUUGGGAAUGAUUUCACACGCAACUGUCGGUCUGGACUCUGCAAGGAUCACGCUUGGUUUGGGGUUGGUGUAAUGGAGGGAAAGCUAAAGACCCACUUUUAGGGUGCUGGAGUCUGCAGCUGGUGAACAGAUCCUGCAAGUCUGUGGUUGUGAAAUAUUUAUUUUAUUUUAUUUAUUUAUUAAAAAAUUCUUGUA